AUGCAGGAAAUCCAAUAGAAAUGUUUAGCGAGGGGGGAUUUAUGCCGAUAUAGGUUUAACAAGGCUACAAUUACAGAAACUAUUUUACCUCUUAUAAAUUGAAGACUUGCAAAAACCUACCAAUCGUGGUUUACCCAUUCUCCCCGUUAUUCAAUUACUAAUUUGUUUACGGUUUUAUACGACUUGUAGUUUUCAGAUAUUAAAUGGAGACAUGCUUGGUAUUAGCCAACCUACAAUAAGCCAGAUUAUCAAGAGGGUGUCCAUUUUAAUAGCAGAACAUUUGGGUGAAUUUGUAUGAUGCAACCAUAAAUGGUUGAACAGCAUUAUUAUUCCAAUGAUACUGCCUUCAGCUUGUGCAGAUGAUAACAACAAAUGGGAUACAUAUAUUAAGAAUAUAGAAAGAGCUAUAAAUACAUCUGUGAAUAAAUCCACUGGCGAAAAAAACUCCUGAAUUAUUAUAUGGAUAUAUUCCGAAGAUUGAAGAUGGAUAAGUGAGAUUAUUGACGGUAGAGAAUGAAAAGUAUUCAAUUACCUGAAAAAUUGAGAAAAGAGGUCAAAGAACAUAUAGAAAUGGAACAAAGGAAGUAUAAAAAAAUUAUGAUAAACAUAUAGAUUUAAAGGUAUCACAAAGAUAGGAGACAUGGUCUAUAUGAAAAGUGCUACUAAAUAUAAGGGACUAUUUACAGUGACACAAGUUCUACCCCAUGACACAGAAAAACACAUAAACAGAAGUAUUUAGAAGAAUAUGUUUAAUGUUUAAUGAAUACUACUUUUGGUUUAUUUAGUUUUGAAUAGUUUCAUAAAUUUUUAAAAUCUUUAAAUAUCAUAAAUUUAGAAUGAAUAUUUUUUUUAUUGUUGUAGGUAAUUUUUAAGUUAGUUUUGUUAAUUAAGUCUUGGAGACUAAGACAUAGUCAGGUUGGACGAGUGUCAGAGAAUAAAUUAAAUUUAUAAGUAAAGGCAAAAAUUGUCAGUCACUGAUUUACGUAGCAGACUAGAAAAAAAAGAAUAGAGAAGAAUGUCAUCUAGACGAGAAGAAAUAAGGAAGCAGUAAAAACGCAAUAAUCAUAGAAUGUGUAUUGUGAAAUAUUAUUCUAAAUAAAACUAUAAAACAUGGAGUAUCAACUUUAUAUAGAGUGGUCAACUCAAUAAGAAUACAGAAUUUACACCAAGGAAUAAAAUCUUGAAAAUUAUAGUUUUAAUGUAUUAGUGGGAAAAUUCUGUGUGACCAGUUAAAACAAGCACUUAACUGUCUGGUCAUAGUGAGCGUAAAACUACUAAGAAAUCAUAUGUUAUUUAAGUAUAGAAAAACAGUAUUUUUAUGAUAACUAAUAAUAGACUAUAAGAAAUUACUUAAAAUAUGUUACAUGUAAAUAUAUAAACACUAACUUAACACUAAUAGAAAAGUAAAUAAAAUUAUUAUAUAGGUACUAGUUACCUUGGAACAUUACUUAACAUAUUACAUAAUUACUAGAUAUACAUAUAUUAAUACAAUAAAUACAUUAAUUUGCAAAAUGUUGAAUAAGAUUUCUUCAAAAAUCUAACCCUCUUCCUUUUUAUUUAUAAUUGGAAUGUGUAAAUUAGCAUCUUCAAAAUUAUCUAAAUUUUCCCUUAAACCAAUAUUAUGAAGAACAGCUGUUGCACAAAUAAUAGCAACAGUUGUUUUGUAAACCUCGGAGAAAUGGAAGACGUUUUUACCAAGUCCCAAAUAGCCUUUCAACAUUUCGCUUUCUUCUAUGGGCAAAGUUAUACCUGGUUUCUUGUUGAUUACCUAGCUGUAGAACAGAAGUCAAUAGAAUUGGCCUAUAUCUAUAUGCAUUGUCUCCAAGAAGUAAAUCACGAAUAUCACGCCUUUCCAUUAGCAUUCUUAAAUUACUUCGAUUGAAUAUAACACUAUCAUGACUUGACCCUGGAUAUCCAACUAUAAUAUCCAUAAUUUCCCUUUUGGGACCUGAACAUUUAGACUAAAAAAAAUUUUUGCGAUUUUGAAAUACUUCCACAUUAUUGCAUUAUUCUUGAUUAUCUGGCUUAUUGUAGGUUGGCAAACACCACGCAAGUCUCCAUUUACCAUCUGAAAAUUACAAGUCGUAUAAAAGUGUAAACAAAUUAGUAAUUGAACAACGGGGAGAAUGGGUAAACCACGAUUGGUAGGUUUUUGCAAGUCUUCAAUU
RNAcentral lists this long non-coding RNA (2168 nucleotides) under Sitophilus oryzae (rice weevil). RNAcentral describes it as "uncharacterized LOC115876120". Lineage: Eukaryota; Metazoa; Arthropoda; Insecta; Coleoptera; Curculionidae. The record is from RNAcentral.